Molecule: long non-coding RNA, 2304 nt
Organism: Dermochelys coriacea (leatherback sea turtle)
Lineage: Eukaryota; Metazoa; Chordata; Testudines; Dermochelyidae
Exons: 4
Source: RefSeq, a predicted model, not a curated record
GGAACUCUUCGACCGCGAGACAGUGCAGGGCCCGCUCCCUCUUGGCGGGCGGGGCAGGCCAGGCCUCUUGGCGGGGGCGCGUCUGUCAAACUUGGCAGGGCGGGAGCCGGCGGAGGCUGCUCUCCUGGGUGAGGCGCAGGAGGCUGCCGCGUCGCUCCCCUCCGAGGCAGCGCCAGGGGCCCGGGUGUCAGGCACCCGCCCGGCUAACGCACUCGCCUCGCCCAGCGUAUCGGAUGCCUCAGGUUGGAUCUAUGCCAAGUACCUCUCAGGGCUGCGCGUAGCACGUCGCUCUAGUGCUGAGCGAGGGAGAGCGAAGGGCUGCGGUGUGUUGGGGGGUGUCACAAACAGCCGUGCACGCGGAGAUUUCUGUCCGUGAAAUUGCUGGGAUUGAAAUAAACGCGUCCCUGAAUAGUCGUCCCGAAAGGAAUCCGGGGCCUCCAGCAUCAGCCGCACGCGCUGCGCGUACACUGAGUGAGCUACUGAAACGGGUUGUGAGCCCGAAGAGGCUGCAUUGUUAGUUGUGGCAGAAGGGAAGAAUUGACUUGUCUGUAUGUUCCUGCUGUCCUCGACUGGCCCCAUCUCCGAUGUUCUCAGGCACAGCCCCAAAUGGAUGGUAGCAUAGUCCCAUCAUGUGAACAGCCUACUCUGCUAGCCAAGAAUGACCCCAUCUCCUUCUCAUAGCUUUUGGGAUGCCAUGUUCCAGGAAGCAUCUGGAGGGCCUCUUGGAGCAUAGGGCCUCCAACUGCACCUCACUGCUGCACAAUAAUGCAAGAGGAGGGUCUCUUUAUGCCCUCCCUUAUGCAUCUAUGAAGUAGCAAGGCACAACCUGGCCCAUAAAGUGUUGGCAAGUUCCAAUCCACAUCACAAUAGAAGCAUCACUGCAUCUGAGUUAGCAUUUGGUAUAUGGUGGGGAAGCUGAGGAAGAAAGCGAUUAAGUGACUUGGCCAAGAUCACCCAGAAAAUUGUUCAGUGCUGAGAUUAGAAAUCAGGAGUUUAUGUGCUGCUGGUCUAAAAAGGAGCAGCGAGGAUUCCUGGCUGAGCUGGAUGCUGUUUGCUGCAUCAUACAUGCUAACCAGCUAGAAACUCUAUGUGCACAUUAGCCAACAGAUCAUUCUCUCUUGAGGAUGGCAUGCCUGGGCUCGUGUGUCACCCUCUUUUUCUCAUACUGCUCUCUUAAGCUCUAAAGAGGUUGGCUGCUCUGCUCCUUGUGCUAAGGGGAGGGAAGAACAGCAUCCGACUCUCAAUACAAGCUGCAUUCCACAUUACUAUAUUAGGGUCAAGUGACUGAUUUGAAAAUACUAUGAGUUAGGAUAUACUUUAAUCCAUAGGCCUGAUUCUCCUCUGCCAUCCUCCUUGUUUAGUCGUUUACAUCUAUGUAAAGUGGGUGCAAAAUGCUAUCAAGAAAGAAUGAUAGAGUUUUAGCCUCAAUUUACACAGGUGUAAAUGACUACAUCAGGAACAAGAUAGGACAGAACCAGGCCUCAUGCUAUCAUCUUAUUUGCUUUGAGCUCACUGUAGGACCCAGUAUUGGACUAACAACUCCGUUUCUACUCAGGCAAACUGCCAGUAAGAAAGCAGUGGGAAUUUUGUUUAAGUAAGGACUUCAGGAUUGGGCCUGAUAGUUUGUGUGAAUGCCAAAAAUUAUUUUAAAAUAGUUUGUAGAAUAUCAUCAUAAGAUAAUGUAACAUCACAGUGGGCGAUCUAUUUAAACUGUUGCACAUUAAAACAUGAGUGGGUUCGUGACAUCACUUUUUUGCAAUCUUGCUCUCUGUUGAGAUUAUUACAAAAGGCUCUACUGCAGAUUGGAAGUUUAAGUACAGGAAAAAAUAAGUGCCCUCUAAUUUCUCUCGCAGGUAAUAAUACAGUAGUGAUUUUAAAGUAAAAGUAUGUAUGUCAAUGAGAAUCUUUCUGAGGUUGAAGUUAAGGUGCAUUUGGCUGAUUGAGGAAUUAGUGGGUACUGUGGAUGCUUGUAUCUGAUAACAAAAGGGAGAUGGUGAUGAGGAGUAUGAUUCCAUUUGGGUAUUGUGAUGUUUGUUUGGUAAUGUGUACUGAUGCUGGAAAGGAGGUUAAUUAUGCUAAUGAUGACUAAUCAGAGGAUUUCCUUGCCUUUAGUUAUUGUGUGGAUAAAAAAAAAAUUUGCUCUACCACUGACUUGCAUGAGAUUGGUCAAAUCAUUUAACCUCCCUCUACCUCCAUUUUCUCCAUGGGGAUAAUCAUAUGUGCCUAAUUUACUGGCGUAUUAUAAGGUUUACUGUUUGUGAAAUAGGUUGUGAUCCUCAAAUAAAGGUACUUCAAAGUAUAAAA